AAAUAUUUACGCCUUUGUCUGAACUCUCCAAACUUCUUCUCUCUUUUAGCAGUCUGGCUGCCAAAAUUCCGAGGAAAAAUCACAAAUGGGUCGAGAGUCCAGAUGCUGCCAUCUGGCGGGAGAAAUUUAUUUGGCGGGUAAUUUUAAAAUUGUAAAAGUAAGCAUGAUAAUUGAAAUUAUCCAGCAGAAGUAAAUGAUGGCCAGAAUAUCUGGGUUUAAAAUUAUACAAUGGUAGACAUUUACUAAGCCGGAAGACGACAUGCUGUACAGAUUGGAGGCCAAUCAUUGGAUAAACAGAAAAGAAUCUAUUCUACCGAAAUUUCGCGACUACAUGCGAAAGUUAGAUCGUGAUUGUUAUUUCAAUUCCUAAGCGUGCCAGUUUACAUUUUUAACGCCGAUACCGGAAGCCAGAAUCCAGAGAAUACCAAUUCAUCUUCUGAAGCCCUUAAUGCAACUCAGACUGGCAAGUAAAUAUGCUUGUCACAUCACCGUCGAUGGUAUUACCCUUACUCUCUCCCCCACAAAACCAUGUCCACACUGCCAGCUACAAGUACCCGAAACGACUCUACAUUACAUCUGUGACUGCCCACUCUUCACCGAAAAUAGAUUGAAAAACCUCAAAGACUGGGUCAUUCGCACUUGCCUUCUACAACUUUCAUCAUCAAUCCUCGAGGACUCCAGUUAAGGUAAAAGCCCCAAUAGAUGAUCAUGUACCAGUAUAUGAUCACUCCAUGUAUUUGUAUACCU
Cotesia glomerata is the source of this 747-nucleotide long non-coding RNA. RefSeq lists it as uncharacterized. The transcript has 4 exons. Lineage: Eukaryota; Metazoa; Arthropoda; Insecta; Hymenoptera; Braconidae. The record is from RefSeq and is a predicted model, not a curated record.